GGUGGCUUAGUGGUUAGAGCGUCCGCCUCGGAUGAGGGAGGUCAUGGGUGCGGUCCCCGGCCUAAUCA
Molecule: non-coding RNA, 68 nt
Organism: Potamilus streckersoni
Lineage: Eukaryota; Metazoa; Mollusca; Bivalvia; Unionida; Unionidae
Source: the annotation of a GenBank genome assembly